Crotalus tigris (Tiger rattlesnake) is the source of this 1599-nucleotide long non-coding RNA. RefSeq lists it as uncharacterized. The record is from RefSeq and is a predicted model, not a curated record. Lineage: Eukaryota; Metazoa; Chordata; Lepidosauria; Squamata; Viperidae. The transcript is spliced from 4 exons.
AUUAUGAAGAUACCCUAGGGGUCACAGCAGGAGGUGUCAAAAUCUAUGAGGGAACCAGAAGACUGAGGGGGAAUCCUUCACUCCAUCGUCAGACUGGCUAAGAAGAAGCUGGAUAUCCUUGAAAGCUCUGGAGCCAUCCAAUCUUACAAGAAACAGAAAGCUGAGAUGCCCUGGAAGGAAACAAAGUGCCUUGCUGGUGGAAGAAUUGACACAGCUUUGUUUAAAAUAAGAACUGAAAUUCAUUGUGCUUGGGAUCGCUUUCAAAUUCAGUUAAACACUAAAUGACAUAAACUUCUGCAGAAUUUGCUAAUUGAAGGAUGUAAUCAUUUGUUCUGUCCACUUUCAGGGAACAAUUCUAUUUAGCAAAGCCUCAAAUUUAAUUCAGACUUCCAACGUGGCUAUAAUCUAAACCCACUGGGUUUUGUAGGUAGAAAAUAUCAGAAUUAACCACAUUUAGUCACAUAUAAGAAACAUCUGCAGAGGGGUGGGGUUUUUUAAGUUGCUUUUUUUGGUAUCAAGGGUUUAAAAAGAUUAUGUUUGCUUCUUCUCAGAACAUAAGGAUCCCUAAUUUUUCUGUCAUUAUGAUGGCAGCUGGAACUACGAUAACACUCAACAGCAAAAGGUCUAUGCCUGAGCUAUGAUGGAAGACCCAUAGGAAGUGAAAUAUAGCCCUUUUGUCUGCUCCAUCCAUUCAGUCCAUGUGAACUUGGCAAAGGAAAAGGAGACCUUUCUUGGCAGUGUCUAAUAAUGAUGGAAGGCUUUACACUGAGCUGUUUAUUAAAUAGUGUCUAAUAGAUGAGGCAUUGGAAGAAGAUAAGACACAUUUUUUCUGAUUACGGCUAAUUUUUAUUCUGUCCUCCUCACCACCAUUUCCCAAUGGGAAAAAUGUUUAAGUAAGAGUUUCAGCAGACAAUGUUUAAGAAUGUAGUGAUAUUAACCUUAAAGUUGACCUUUAAAAUUGUGAUUAAUUGACACUGGUGCUGUUUUGCUAGGCUACCAUAUCUGGGCCACAGAGCCUUGGACAACCUUAGAUGACUGCAAAAUGUUAAUAUCUACUAUCAUUUAAUGGCAAUCUACAUUUCUGCAGAUUAGAUAUGAUCGUUCUAGUCUAAUUGAUACCUUAUUUAGCAACUAGAUAUGAGCAACAAAGAAGUCCCUUUUCAUAUUUCAAUGUCUUGAUUUAGAAUUAGCUUUCUAUCCCAGAUAUUACCCUAAAUAUAUAAAGAAGCAGGAACAAUACAGCACAUAGAAGCAAACAAUAGAGUUAAAAACUUAACUACCACCACAACACAAUUCUGUCCACCAUUCCUUUCCUCUUCCUCUUCAGGAGAAUAUAAACAUCUAUGAGAGAUUGUUAAUCUACUCCUAGAGCCAAAGAAUCAACUGAUUGUGUAAUGUCUAGAGUGGCAGUAUUAAUCUAAGAAUGAUAGAUAAAGAGUUUAGUGAAAAUGAAUGUGGGACUUUGAUAUGUUGUUUAAAGAACUGGUAAAGUUGUAAGAAUGAAGAAAUGUAUUUUCUAUUAAGACAAUAUAGGUAGUCCUUGAAUUACAGAGGUUUGUUUAGUGACUGUUCAAAGUUUCAAUGGCACUAAAAAAAGUG